CGGCUCCGUGAGUACCGCUCCCCCUGCCCCACUGCCCCGGCAGGGCCGCGGCUCCGUGAGUACCGCUCCCCCUGCCCCACUGCCCCGGCAGGGCCGCGGCUCCGUGAGUACCGCUCCCCCUGCCCCACUGCCCCGGCAGGGCCGCGGCUCCGUGAGUACCGCUCCCCCUGCCCCGCCGCCGGCACCGCGUGCCGCCGCCCGCCCCGCCCGGGCCGGGCCCUUCCCUGCGGCCGCUGAGCCGGUGCGGAGCGCCGACCCCGCCGCUCGGCGCCGAGGCGGGGAUCACCGCCCCGCCAGGCUCCCCAUGUCCCCACAGCCUGCUGGGGAACCUUGCUAACGAGAAAAAUAGAUAGAUUGUUUCCUUAUACCUAUCAAAUCUAUAUAAAUAUAUGUCUCUGUUGAGCUAGACCGGGGACUCGGAUGGCCGCGGACACCUCCCCGGCAGCCACGGCGCUGGAGCCGCGGUGACGCAGCGCCGGCGAUGCUCGCAGGUGCCACCCUGCUGCUACCGUUACCUGCGGACUGCAGUCCCCGCGUGGAAAUAAAAAAAUUCCCCUAAAAACGAUUUUAAUUUUAAUUAUACAACAGAGCUCAUUAAUAUAUUUAUAUAUAUAUAUAUUAAAAAAAAAAAGGCUGUACGCGCAGAGGGCGCUGGGGUAAUUCCGUAGCGAAGUGCCGAGUGGCGGUGCCGAAGCCCCGCACCGUCCCGCCCCGGCCGCGCAGGUUGGGGGGCACCGCGGGCCUCCCUCCCUGCGGCGGGCAGCGCUCCCGCCGCGCCGGGGAGCCCCGCCGGCUGCCGCACCCCCGGGGAGCGGGGAAUCCCCCACGCAGGCUCCUGCCGGACAGGGACUUGCUUUUGUUUGUCAUUGUUCUCAUUAUUUUCUCUGCGAAGAAGCAGGCGGUUUCACGCGGCGAUAUAAAGUUGGAUCGCCAAUAACCGGAAGUUAAAAUGCAAACGCUUCACUAGGAAGCGUUUCACGCAGCUGGUGCAAAAUCACUUUUAUUUUUUAUCUGCGGGAAGGAAAAACAGUUUUAUGAUUUUUUUUUCCUGUGAGAUAGCACUGUCAUCAAAAUACAGAUGCUUUUCCUACAUCAAUGAUUUUUCACUACAGCCUAAGGGCCUCUUGGCUUUAAAGCUCUAGUUAUUUUUGCUAAUAUAUCAAGAAUUUAACUCCUAACUAUUUCAUAAAUCAACUCCAGAUGCACUGUACAGUAUUUAUAUACUUAUUUUCAGAUGUACAUUCUGGCUCAGUAGAUUGCCAACUCACCAUUUCAAUGCUUCAAAGCGAUGAUGCUGGGAAUUGUCAGCUCUGAAGACAAGGUUAGCUCACAGGAGCAGAAUGUACUGUGUAAAAUGCUGAUUUAUGAAAGUGUUACAAUCCAUAUAUCUUGCAGGUCGAAUUGCAUGCAUUAUAUGAUCAGAAAUACACAGAGGAUUGAUCUGCCAGUGCUUAUUUUGAAGCAGAAUUCAUGUUGUCUCCAAAGGUGAGGGUGCCAGUGAUGUACUGGGGCAGAAGCUAGAAGGUGCAUCUUUCAACCCACCCCAGCCUGGAGAAGCUGUGGCAAAGCACUCCUGUACCCUGAUAACAAACCCCCAUAGCCUAACCCUCACCCCAGCAUUGCUGGGAGCAGUGAGCACCCUGCCCUGCCCAGGAUGAAAAAUAUCUCUUGUGAGCCAAUAGAUGCCCUACUUAUUUUUAAAAAUCUUUUCUCACUUUGAUGGACUCCUGACCAGCAGAUGACACAUCCUCAGGCCUAUGAGCUGCUGAGGGUGUUGCUUUCCCAUAAACAGUUGCUCUCUGAGAAGCCUCAGUAGCCUCUGCAGCCAAGGGGACUCUGGGGGGCUCUGGCAGGCUCCAUUUUGCCAUCCUCCUGCCAGCCUGUGGGUAGUCUUUCCAAUUGUAGGUAAACCUGUGGUGCUCAUAUGAAGGUGAUAUCCAGCUCCAAGUUUGCAGUUAAUCAAGUCUACUCAGUGAAGUUGAACAAUUUAAUCAGUGCGUGAUGAAGCCUUGGAUGUAUCUGAGCUGUAUCACGUUAUCUUCACAUCUAAAGCAAUCGUCAGAGAUUAGAUGGGGGGAACUAACGACAUAGUGGUAGUUCCUGCCCUGAUCCUGUGCAGUCACAUCACGGUACAGCAGUGUGAGCACAGCAGCCUGUUCUGUGUGUGGUCAUUGCACGGCCAAGGCCGUGGUAAGUCUCCUAUUCCCGGGACGCUGUCAUGCUGUUUAGUAACCAGAUUACAGCUUGGGUACGCAUUACUUAGCAACCCUUGCCAGGAAUGCUUUUCGUCUGCCUGGUGAGAAGGCUGGGACUCUUCCUUCAGGGGCACUAUCAGAUAAGUGUCCUGUCGCUUGUGCGCAGAGUUUUUGUGAUACGGUGGCAGGGCGAUGGGAGCUGAAGGCCACUUAGAUGUGGCACCGAAUGGCACUGUGUGACUUGGCCCUGUUUCUUGCAGAAAACACACUCCACCCAUGUUUCAUGCCCUGCCCAGCCUGCUGCUUCAUCUCCGGGUGCAGAGGAAGGAGGUUGUUUUUGGCUAAGGUGCUACUGUCUUGGGACCUGGUUAUUUUAUAUAGUUUCUUUCCAGUUCCAGGCAGCUGUAGAAGUAAGAAAGUACUUUAAACUAGUAGAAGAUUUUUCACACCUGCUGUCUUUAUGAAGCGCCGUCUUGCUUUUCCGCUGGUCUGACACAUGACUGCAAACCUGGCUCGAUCGGGAGCCUCCGUGUCCACCUACGCUGGAAGGCACAUCCGGACGGCCGGAGGCGUUGCCGGCUGCCGGCGGUGAUGGCACAGCCCCGCUUGUGCGGCAGCUCCAGGCCUUGCCAGGGCACGUCAGUAUUUCUUGUCCCUCGCUUUCGGGGUGUCUUCCCAGUGUGGGGAACCCCCAAAGCCGGCCAAACCCUCCCGCGGGCGAGGAGCGCACCCCGCGCCGGCGGGGCGGGGCGGGGCGGUGAGGGGCGCCGGGCUCAGCGCCGCCGGGAGCUGCUGAAGUGAGAACUUGAAAGGAGCCGUCGGUGGCGAGAAGAGGCGGACAAAGCAAGCGCCGGGCUACCGAAAGCGGCGCUCUGCCGGCGAGUUUUAAGGCGCUUCAAGUCUAAAGGAGAAGUGACAGGGCAAUCAUCUCCCCGGCUUGGCUGCGGAUGGGAGGGUGGAAUCUUGCUAACAGCUCGCGUAUCUGUAUAUUUAAUUGCGACCUGGCUGCAUGUUCCUGUUGAGGAAGGAUGCAAUCACAAGCGAAUCUAUAAAAACGCAGUUGACAAGCCAAGGAAAGGGAUAACUGACAGAUGAAACGACAGUCAGCGCGGAGCUAACUGGCAAACGCAUCGGUACAAAGUCAGAUACCUUCUGAGAGGAGUAGUAGUUUGUUUUAUUCCGGUUCUCCAGAGUUUUAUCUACUGUCGGUGUGAUGGGGUAGAGAGGAGCUAAUGUGCCCUUUUUAGGAUACACACAUGCAGAUUAGAUCAGGCUUCAGACACCACGUUUCACUCAAGACUUAGAACAGUUAGAGGAAUAAACCAGGCUUCACCCACCUAGGAAAACAUGGAAUUUUCUUUUAAUGAUUUAAAGGUGAUUUACACUUGUUUAAACACAACCGUUUCACAUACGGAUAUAGGGAGCUAUCGGGAGUUGAUGGGGUCGGGAGCUGGGGCCCGGAGCUCGCCGCCGCCGUGAUGCGAGGCUGGGGCGCUGGGAAUACCAGCAUUUUCUUCACUUUUGUGUUACUUUAAGUUUUCAAUGAGGCUAGUGUAAUUACGAGGCGUUUAACUUUUUGCCAGGCUCUUUCAUUAUGGCUUUGCAUUUGCACCUCGCUUUUAAGAGAAGUAAUAACAUUCACAGUCAGGGGCAAAUCCUGUUAAUGAACAAAUUAAAGUUCAAACAGUUAUUCAA
Long non-coding RNA from Pipra filicauda (Wire-tailed manakin), 3890 nucleotides. RefSeq lists it as uncharacterized. The record is from RefSeq and is a predicted model, not a curated record. NCBI's taxonomy places the organism in Eukaryota, Metazoa, Chordata, Aves, Passeriformes, Pipridae. The transcript has 2 exons.